GUAGGUGGCAAGCGUUGUCCGGGAAUUAUUGGGGCGUAAAGCGCGCGCAGGCGGUUCUUUAAGUCUGAUGUGAAAAGCCCACGGGCUCAACCGUGGAGGGUCAUUGGAAACUGGAGAACUUGAGUACAGAAGAGGAAAGCGGAAUUCCACGUGUAGCGGUGAAAUGCGUAGAGAUGUGGAGGAACACCAGUGGCGAAGGCGGCUUUCUGGUCUGUAACUGACGCUGAGGCGCGAAAGCGUGGGGAGCAAACAGGAUUAGAUACCCUGGUAGUCCACGCCGUAAACGAUGAGUGCUAAGUGUUAGGGGGUUUCCGCCCCUUAGUGCUGCAGCUAACGCAUUAAGCACUCCGCCUGGGGAGUACGGCCGCAAAGGCUGA
This 377-nucleotide ribosomal RNA is filed under the name uncultured organism. RNAcentral's name for it is "partial 16S ribosomal RNA". It matches the Rfam family "Bacterial small subunit ribosomal RNA", at positions 527 to 897 of the family's 1533-position model. The record is from RNAcentral.